Molecule: unclassified non-coding RNA, 337 nt
Filed under: soil metagenome
Description: partial contains 5.8S ribosomal RNA, internal transcribed spacer 2, and large subunit ribosomal RNA
Rfam family: 5.8S ribosomal RNA (bases 1-120)
Source: RNAcentral
GAUGAAGAACGCAGUGAAAUGCGAUAAGUAAUGUGAAUUGCAGAAUUCAGUGAAUCAUCGAAUCUUUGAACGCACAUUGCGCCCCCUGGUAUUCCGGGGGGCAUGCCUGUUCGAGCGUCAUUUGUACCUUCAAGCUCUGCUUGGUGUUGGGUGUUUGUCUCGCCUCUGCGUGUAGACUCGCCUCAAAACAAUUGGCAGCCGGCGUAUUGAUUUCGGAGCGCAGUACAUCUCGCGCUUUGCACUCAUAACGACGACGUCCAAAAGUACAUUUUUACACUCUUGACCUCGGAUCAGGUAGGGAUACCCGCUGAACUUAAGCAUAUCAAUAAGCGGAGGA